ACGAACGCUGGCGGCGUGCUUAACACAUGCAAGUCGAACGGUAAGGCCCUUCGGGGUACACGAGUGGCGAACGGGUGAGUAACACGUGGGUGAUCUGCCCUGCACUUCGGGAUAAGCCUGGGAAACUGGGUCUAAUACCGGAUAUGACUGCGAAUCGCAUGGUUUGUGGUGGAAAGCUUUUGCGGUGUGGGAUGGGCCCGCGGCCUAUCAGCUUGUUGGUGGGGUGAUGGCCUACCAAGGCGACGACGGGUAGCCGGCCUGAGAGGGUGUCCGGCCACACUGGGACUGAGAUACGGCCCAGACUCCUACGGGAGGCAGCAGUGGGGAAUAUUGCACAAUGGGCGCAAGCCUGAUGCAGCGACGCCGCGUGAGGGAUGACGGCCUUCGGGUUGUAAACCUCUUUCAGUAUCGACGAAGCGCAAGUGACGGUAGGUACAGAAGAAGGACCGGCCAACUACGU
This 460-nucleotide ribosomal RNA is filed under the name uncultured bacterium. RNAcentral's name for it is "bacterial SSU rRNA". It matches the Rfam family "Bacterial small subunit ribosomal RNA", at positions 29 to 506 of the family's 1533-position model. The record is from RNAcentral.